This 440-nucleotide ribosomal RNA is filed under the name uncultured bacterium. Its description in RNAcentral is "bacterial SSU rRNA". It matches the Rfam family "Bacterial small subunit ribosomal RNA", at positions 338 to 795 of the family's 1533-position model. The record is from RNAcentral.
CCUACGGGAGGCAGCAGUGGGGAAUAUUGGACAAUGGGCGCAAGCCUGAUCCAGCCAUGCCGCGUGAGUGAAGAAGGCCUUAGGGUUGUAAAGCUCUUUCAGCGGGGACGAUAAUGACGGUACCCGCAGAAGAAGCCCCGGCUAACUUCGUGCCAGCAGCCGCGGUAAUACGAAGGGGGCUAGCGUUGUUCGGAAUUACUGGGCGUAAAGCGCGCGUAGGCGGAUCGAUAAGUCAGGGGUGAAAUCCCAGGGCUCAACCCUGGAACGGCCUUUGAUACUGUUGGUCUGGAGUCCGGGAGAGGUGAGUGGAAUUCCGAGUGUAGAGGUGAAAUUCGUAGAUAUUCGGAGGAACACCAGAAGCGAAGGCGGCUCACUGGCCCGGUACUGACGCUGAGGCGCGAAAGCGUGGGGAGCAAACAGGAUUAGAUACCCUGGUAGUC